UGGAUAAUAGAGUGGAGGAUCCUCAGUGG
This 29-nucleotide non-coding RNA is filed under the name Rattus norvegicus (Norway rat). The record is from RNAcentral. Lineage: Eukaryota; Metazoa; Chordata; Mammalia; Rodentia; Muridae.